AUACGUAGGUGACAAGCGUUAUCCGGAUUUACUGGGCGUAAAGGGCGUGUAGGCGGUCUUGCAAGUCAGAAGUGAAAUUCCUGAGCUCAACUCGGGCGCUGCUUCUGAAACUGCAGGACUUGAGUGCUGGAGGGGAUAGCGGAAUUCCUAGUGGAGCGGUAAAGUGCGCAGAUAUUAGGAAGAACACCGGUGGCGAAGGCGGCUAUCUGGACAGUAACAGACGCUGAGGCGCAAAAGAGUGGGGAGAAAACAGGAUUAGAUACCCUGUUCGUCCACGCCGUAAACGAUGAAUACUAGGUGUAGGGGGUAUCGACUCCCUCUGUGCCGCAGUUAACACAAUAAGUAUUCCGCCUGGGGAGUACGGCCGCAAGGUUGAAACUCAAAUGAAUUGACGGGG
This 397-nucleotide ribosomal RNA is filed under the name uncultured bacterium. RNAcentral's name for it is "partial 16S ribosomal RNA". It matches the Rfam family "Bacterial small subunit ribosomal RNA", at positions 523 to 918 of the family's 1533-position model. The record is from RNAcentral.